CUUGCUCCUUCCGCUGUCUCGCGCGAUCUGGGUGCCGGUGCACGGAACUCUCGCGAGGAAGGAGGGAACCGAUGACCCUAGGUUGGCUGACAUCAGUCGCUAGACCCGCAGCCCGCAGGCCCCGUUAGUCCCUGAACUGGCUUUCAUGGCCCAAGGUGUCUGUCAGUACUGCUGGGAAAGCUGCCUGUCCUGGACAUUUGCCAUCUGCUGCACCCAGUCCCGAGACCCCAACUCGGUCAUCCGAAGAAGCCACAUCUCUGGACAGCCCAGGAUCACCAGACACCUGAGAAAGAAGAAAAGGGACUCAGAAGAAACAGAGACGAUAAAGGAAGCCGAAGAAAAAUGAAAACUAAAAUGCCAUUCUCAGUCAAUAAAAAGGAACUGGGGGCUAUAGAGAAAGAAACCUCGGGAUGAGAAAGAGCUCUUAGAAAUAAAACAUGAGGGGAAAGUGAGCAAUUCAAUAGGCUUUUAAGAUGAAGUCUUCCAGAAUGUAUAAUGACAGAACCAGAUAGCUGGAAAACAGAAUAGCAGUAACACAGGUGGGUGCUCUUAGGGCUAGCCUGGCACACAAGGCCUCCACAAUGGAGGGGGUGGAUGGGAGGUGGGGGGCUGGUCUGCCACCACCACCAGGGGAAGCCACAGGCACCACCCUCUGGGGACAGCUUCCCUUGGCAAUAAUGUGCACGCAGGAUGCAUGGUGCCCAGGACUGUUCUUACACACAUUCAUUCAUGGGAUCCUCACAACCCAGUGCUAUGCAAUGGAUACAGCUGUUACCCCAUUUUUACUGAUGGGCAACAUCACAAGGCAGGGAGCAGCAGUAGAAUGGCUCCAGAGCCUGUGUUCUUGCCACCACCAUGACUGCAUCUCAAAAGAGAAGUCCAGGUCAGGCACAGUGGCUCAUGCCUGCCUUCCCAGCACUUCAGGAGGCUGAGGCAGGAGUAUCACUUGGGCCCAGGGGUUCAAGACCAGCUUGGGCAAUAUAGUGAGGCCACGUCUCUACAAAAAGUAAUUUUAAAAAACCAGCUGGGCAUGGUGGCACACGCCUGUAGUCCUAGCUACUAGAGAGGCUAAGGUGGGAGGAUUGCUGGAGCCCAGAAGGUGGAGGUUGCAGUGCCCUGUGAUCACACCACUGCACUCCAGCCUGGGUGACAGAGCCAGACCCUGUCUCAAAAAAACAACAAAAACUCAACAGAAGUCCAACAUCUAAAUAAAUUGUCCAGAAAAUAAGGAAAUGAGAGAAAUCAGCAGAGAUAAAUCAAGAAAAUUUCCUAGAACCAAACAGUCAUGUUUUCUGAACAAUGGGUGAAAGGGAAGUUGUAUAUCAAGACACAUCAUUGAGAAUUACCCAAGUAAUGGGGCAAAGAAAAAGAAGAGAUCAUAGGUAAAGAGUCAGAAUUCAGGAAGGCACAAGAGUUCUUGGAACUAGAAGAAAAUGACACAAUACCCUUGAAAUCCUGGGAAUAAAUGAUUUUCAACCAAGCCAAGCUUUUUGUAGCUAGUCGCACUGUUAAGCAUAUGUGAGGUUAGCAUAAAGACUGUGGGGAAAAGCAAGAGAGAUCAGAUUGUUACUGUGUCUGUGUAGAAAGUAGUAGACAUAGGAGACUCCAUUUUGUUUUGUACUAAGGAAAAUUCUUCUGCCUUGAGACUCUGUUAAUCUAUGACCUUACCCCCAACCCCGUGCUCUCUGAAACAUGUGCUGUG
RNAcentral lists this long non-coding RNA (1702 nucleotides) under Homo sapiens (human). RNAcentral's name for it is "HSALNT0145452". The record is from RNAcentral. Lineage: Eukaryota; Metazoa; Chordata; Mammalia; Primates; Hominidae.